Molecule: long non-coding RNA, 3205 nt
Organism: Triticum aestivum (bread wheat)
Lineage: Eukaryota; Viridiplantae; Streptophyta; Magnoliopsida; Poales; Poaceae
Exons: 7
Source: RefSeq, a predicted model, not a curated record
UCGCCCAAUCCCCCCGCCCGCACCACUCCCUCCCUGCCCCACGCCCAAUCCCCUCGCCUGCACCGCUCCCUCCCUCCUUGAUCUCUCUCCCUCGCCAGCCGCCUUUGGUGGGAAACCCUAGCCCACCGCCACUCGCGUCCGUCUCCUCCGGCCAGCCUCCGCCCGCAACCUCCCCCCUCCCGUUUUCAGAAGGGAAGGGAGGGAAGGGAAGAGAAGAGGGGUAGCGAGCGGGUCAGGUGGCCAUGGCGCUUGCAGAUCCACCGGCCCCGUCGUCGCCGCUGCGCUCGCAGGGCGCCAGGAGCAUGGCCUCGAUCUGGAGCAGGAGAGGCCAGGAGUGACAUGGUCACAUGGGAGAAGCUCGGCUGCUUGCUGGUGGUGACGGAUGCGCUCAGACCUGUGGCCCGGUCUCGCCGCCGUGCGCCGUCCACCUCCCCGCAGGCAUGCCGGCCACCUCCCCAUCUGACGCACAUCUUCCCCAUGGGGCCAUGGUACACGGUGAGCAGCAGUGUGAGUUCCACACAUUUUGAAGCUACACCCGCUGGAAACCAGUGAAGAAUGAACAAAGGUGGAUCCACCAGCAGCUUCGAGUAGGAUGAGGAGAUCUGGACGGAGUUCGUGUUUCAGCAACCAUGGUAGCGUGUCCUCCGACCUCGACCUAUAGGCAAAGACGUCUUCUUAAUGUUGCAGAAGUUUGGAGGCAUCAAGGAAUGCAUCCUCCUAUUGCUAUGCAAACUGAGGAAAUCAAAGUGAUGGGAAAUCAUUGUACAACAGCUGUUGACUUCAGGAUAUUUCAUGGAUGAGUUAUACUCCUUGACUCCCAUGAGUGUAUCAUCCGCUUGCUAUGCAAACUGAGGAAAUCAAAGUGGCAAAGCAAUUGACUGCAUGUGUUGACUUCAGGAUAUCUCAAGGAUGAGUUAGAAUCUAUGACGCUCAGGGAUGCAUCCUCUGCUUGCUACACAAACUGAGGAAACCAAAGCAGCAAAGCAUUGUACUGCAGAUGUCGACUUCGGAAUAUCUCAUGAACCAGUUAUACUCCUUGAUGCUCAUGUAAAAUUAACUUAUUUUGCUCUCUGCAAUUGCAUAUUAGAACGGUUGAGCUAAACAUCUCGCUGCUGAUAUUUUCAAAUGUAUUGCAACCACUGUACAACCCAUCCAUCUUAAUUGAUAUGUUGAGACUGGAUCGUAGUAGUUGUUCUGCCUCAUCUAUCACUAUCUGCGGGCUUGCUUUGAUUAUGUGUCUCCCAACUUUCUGUAACUAAAAAGCAGCCUGUAAAUGUAGCUUGAAUAAAAAUGGUACCUUUCAGUUUUGUGCAAGUUCAAAGUAUUAGUAGUUUCAGUUUGUCCAAUUUUUGCAGGGAUAUUGUGUGAGGUCUGGUACAAACUUUUAAGACAAUCACUUAAUACAUUCAUGGGAUCACCAACUUUUGGCGUUUGUUGAUACUAGCUAGGUGGGGCCAUGAAUUCCUAGAGGAUUGUGGCAAUUAUCCUGCUUCGCUUGCAAGAUUGGUUUCUAAAAAUAUCAUGGUAGUUGUAAUUUCAGAUUGCUGCUGAUUUGACUAAAAUAUGUUUUGAUUGUUUUUAAGCUUUGACUCUUUACUGUGUGCACAACUAAUUCAUUCCUAAUUAAAUCUUUCAAUGGUUGAUGGGAACACUACAGAUCUUGCUUCUCUGCUUUUUAAUGUUUCAUAUGUUUUCAUGUACAAACCGAGGCAGUUUGUUCUUGUGGCUUCCAAAAGAAACCUGGAAUGUUUGUUCUACAACUCUCUUUGGCUAGGACAUUUUGGCUUCAAAUAACAUAAAUGAACCUAAAACUUCUUAAUACUUUAUAUCACUUUUUGUAUUGAUGUUCUUCAUGCAUGCUCAUCUGCCAAGAGUUUAAUCACAUAAUGUCAUACGUUCCUCAGCAGGCACCAAGCCGUCCGCUGUUGUCUCUCCCUGAAGAAGGGUUAUGGUUCUCCACCUUUUUUCUAAUCAUAUUAAAAUUCCGGUAUGUUCUUUCUUUCUUUAUUUUCUUUCAAGAAAAAGGUGCAACCUGUUCUUAAUUUCCUAUGAUGAUUCCAAUGGCAAUUUGUCAGUGUAUUUCUAGCUGGAAUUGUAUGUAUAUCUUACAAAUUUGCAUUGCAACAAAUUAAUAACGAGAAUAGAAGCGUUUGCACCCAUCUAACAUAUUUGUAUGGUAUUUUUCAAAAGCACAAGCUUAAAGAUGUGGCGCUGUAUGAGGCUAUCAUUAGGAUGGAAGAUAAAUUUGAUGUUAAAAUAUUGCUUGAAUUUCCUUUGUUCUGUAAACGGCAAUACAAGAUAUGUUGUGCCAUGGUUUUUUUCCGAAAAAAAAAUAACAACUAGCAAUUAACAACACAUCAAAUGUUCUGUGGAUUAUUUUGUCAGGUUGGAUUUAGUAGGUCAUAAUGGUUUUAUUCUACGACAGGAUUAAUUUUGUUUGUACUUUAACCAGUUCAAGGUUUGGUGGUCGAGCACUAUGAUCUUUGCACACUAAGGUUCGGUUGUGUUCUUUGAGAAAUAUAUGUCCUACAAGUCUCAUGUGUCUUGUUUUGUUUUCUCUUAUCAAGCUACAAGCUUUUGAUAUACUUCAAACGUGAUUCUUUAUAUGUUGUUUGUUCCAUCAAUCUUAAAUGUAAAUUAGCAAUUAGGCAUCGACAUAGUAUAGUGGAACCAUUGUGCUUGAUGCAGUUUUAUUUUAGUGUUGAAAUGUUUUUCUAAGUUUGUUUGGUGUUGAGAAAUAUAUUCGUUUUCCAACAAAUGUUUCUAAAUCCUAUCAACACAUUUCCUGAUAUGGCCUUUGAAGUUUCUGUUUUAUAACGAUCUUUGUUGCAGUGGUCAACUUGAGUAUGGUAUAGCUUAUUCUUUUCUGUUGCAGCUAUUCCGGAGAAGUUUAGAGCUUCUGCAACCUUUUGAAGACACGAUUUGUAGUUGCAGAGAUGAAACAAUCAAUCAGUCGCGAUGCAUUACAUAAUCUUUUUGCUUUGGACAUUGAUGGGUAUUAUUUUGCCACAAAGGACAGGAGCUGUGCCAUUUGACUCGAAGGAUAAAGCGGUCAUCACAAGGGGGUGGUCUUUAGGAUGUACACAAAAGAGGAAAUUUCCUUUUGUAUAGAACCAAAUUAUAUGAUUUAAUUGAUCGUUCUCUUGUACACAAUGUUUAUCAUGUAUUAAGUACAUUUUAUUGUCAAAUAUGUUUACUUUUUUUA